CAACUGUCCAAUUUUGGGACUCAAAAAGAGAUUCAGAAGUACUUCAAGUGAUACACUCACACCUCCACAGAAGGAUGACACAACGUUAAAACAGUCCAAAGACAUCAUCAGACAGCUGGCCACCCAGCUUGACAGAGUCACAAAGUAUCAGUUGCGUCACCUUGAACACAGUAUGGAGGAAGACAUAUUGAGUCUGGAGGAGUGUCAACAUUUCCUUUUGCAGUGGGCUGAGGAGCUGAAGCAUUCACCACAGAGACUAAAUUUAGAUACAGCACAGAGUAAAGAGAAGAUCCCAGAGACCAGGGAAAGGUUAAUAAUGGCCCAGAUGACCAUGUCUGAGUGGACCUCAAGCCUUCAGUCUCUACCAAAGGAUUCAAUACAUCCAGGAGAGGAUGUGUGCACAACUCUUCAGGACCUAGCACGUCAAUGGAAGAUGGGAACGCUGGCCAACAUGCUCCCUGUCAUGGAUUUCCUUAUGAGGAAUUGGAUUGGACUUUAAAAGGUCAAAUGGUUAAACAUUAAAUAACAUAUCUGACUUGCUCAACUUAUGUUGUUUUUUUAUAAGUUGGAAAAACUGAAUUUGCAAA
Molecule: long non-coding RNA, 587 nt
Organism: Esox lucius (northern pike)
Lineage: Eukaryota; Metazoa; Chordata; Actinopteri; Esociformes; Esocidae
Exons: 6
Source: RefSeq, a predicted model, not a curated record